UCCCUUUAGCUCUUGAAGUUUUGGGCUCCUUUUUGUGCGGUAGAGAUGCGACUCAAUGGAGAAGUGCGAUUGAAAGACUUAAAAGAGAUUCUGAUAAAGAAAUUCUCAAUAAACUUCGAAUCAGUUUUGAUGGACUGGAAGAAAGGGAGAAGGAUAUAUUUUUAGAUAUAGCAUGCUUCUUCAAUGGGGAGAGGAAAGAUUUUGUAAUAAAAGUAUUAGAUGGUUGUGAGUUUUUUCCUGAUAUCGGAAUUGAUGUUCUCAUUAAAAAAUCUCUCGUAAAAGUCGAUAAAUACAACAGAUAUUUGAAGAUGCAUGAAUUGUUGCAAGAAAUGGGAAGAACAAUUGUUAAAGAAAAAUGUGUUGAUGAACCUGGAAAACGUUGCAGAUUGUGGGAGGAAAGGGACGUCCAUCAUGUCCUAACAAAAUACACUGUAAGUCAUUCAAUAAAAGUUACAUACUAUUUCUUUUUUAUCCUACAUUAUUCACCAUUUAUUUUAUUUUCUUAUUGUCUGUUGUUGAUCUUUUUUAGGCUACAGAAAUGAUUAAAGGCAUAAUAUCGAUAAUAAAAGGUAAGAAGAUACACAUAAACUUAUAUCUAUGUGUACUGUAAAUAAUUAUUAUUUUUAAAUAUGAUAAAAAAAAUAUAGCAAAACUUUUGACAUUCAAUAUUUCAAUGUUUAAUUAUGAAAUUUAUCUAGCAACAUAUUUACUCUUUCAAAAGAAUCAAAAGAGAAAUGUAUGUAUUUUUGAAAUAUUAAUGGUAUAUUUUUUUGUGAAAAUUAAUGGUAUAUAUUUAAUGUACUAAAAGUGUAUAUCAACGAAUUAGAUUAUAACAUGUCAUCGAAAUUUUUUUAAUGAAAAUAGUUUCAUUUUUAAUUAUGUGUCAUUGUUUGGUUCAUUAACUUGUAAAUUAUGCUUUGUUUGCGGACCGAAUAUAAAUCAACAUAUUAAUUCAAUUUUUUAGGAUUAGGUAAUUUAACAUCGGAUGGGAUUAUUAGAUAUAAGUAUCUCUUUAAUAUGGCUAUGUUAAAAAAAUAUAUUUAAAAAUUGUUUUUAUUCACAUAUUUAAAAGGUUCUUAAAGGAUCAUAUCUUAAUACCCAUAUACGAAUAUGCAUUAGAUAUAAGUAUUGGAUACGAGUACUUAAAAAACAAUAUUGAUGUAACAUUUCUUUUAGAUAUUGAAUGUUUUUGUAUAUUUUGAAGCUCAUUUUUGUUUUGCUCAUGGAUAUUAGGGAAUCGAACAAGAUACUCAAUUUGAGUGUGGAUACCUUCUUGAAGAUGAAAAAAUUGAGAUUGCUUAAAGUGCUUUGCCUUUCAAAUUGUGAUGAUGAUCUCAAAUAUCUUUCUAAUGACCUACGACUUUUAGAUUGGACAGGAUACCCUUUAAGAAACUUGCCUUCAAGCUUUCAACCGGAUAACCUUGUCGCACUUCUUUUACCAUAUAGUCACAUUCAACAACUAUGGAAGGGAAAUAGAGUAAGAAUUAACUCAUCUUAUCCUUGUGUUUUAGCUUAUUUUAAUAUAAAUUAUUAAACUUUGAUUAAGGUAAAACAAAAAAACAAAAAUGAGCAUUAUUAUGUUUUCUCAUUUGUUUCUAAUUUAUUAUGGUCUUCAACAGCCCUUGUUUAACUUGAAAAUAAUGAACCUCAGAGGGUCUCAAAACCUGAUCAAGACACCAGACUUCACAACAGCAUCAAAUCUUGAGGUUUUGAUUUUGGAAGGUUGUACCAAAUUAGUGGAUGUUCAUCCAUCAAUCGGGGUGCUUAGGAGCCUUAAACUUUUGAAUUUAAGAGAUUGCAAAAGUCUUAGGACUCUUCCAACCAAAACUGGAAUGGAAUCUCUUGAAACAUUAAUUCUUUCGGGUUGCUCAAAUCUUGUAAGGUUUCCGGAUGUUGAAGGGAAAAUGGAACGCCUAAAAACUCUAGAUCUUUCCGGUUGUUAUAGAGUGGAAAAUUUAUCGGAGAAUUUGCAGCAAGCAAAGUUUUUGGAAGAGCUCGACUUGAGUGAAACAGCCAUAACAGAACCACCAUCCUUCAUUUUUCAAUUUAAAAAUCUUAAAGUUCUGUCUUUCAAUGGGCGCAAGGGACCAUCAUAUAAGUUACUACCAAAUUUGCCUUCUCUUGUCAAGGUAAUCCAAGGAAGAAGGACGAAUCCCAUGGCUCGGAUGUUGCCUUUGUUGUCAGGUUUGAGUUCAUUAAGAGAGUUGAAUCUAAGGGACUGCAAUCUUUGUGAAGGAGAUAUUCCACCUGAUAUUUCUGGUCUAUCCUGUUUGGAAGAACUUGAACUUAGCGGUAACAAUUUCAUCAGCAUACCUGCAUCUCUUACUCGACUCUCCAAGCUUAAAGAGCUUAUAUUGUCAAAUUGCAACAUGUGCACUCUUGGUGAAGCAGAUAUUCGUAGUGAUCUUUCUGGUCUAUACUCUUUGCUACGUCUUGAUCUUAGUGGUAAGAAUUUCAUCACCCUUCCUUUGGCUCUUACUCAACUUUCCAGGCUCAAAUUGCUUAAAUUGUCAGGUUGCAAGAUGCUUAAAUCAUUGCCUGAGCUACCAACAAGUAUAAGAUAUAUGAUAAUAGAUGAUUGUUCUUCACUUGAAGUAGUUGCAAGUCCAUCAAAAGUAUGCAAUUUAGCGGGUGGUGAUGAAAUUAGUGCCAUUAACUGCUUCAAAUUGGCUGAGAAAAUCAAUGCAUUAACACUGCUGAAAGAACAUAUUAAGGUCAAUUAAUCUAUUUUUUCUCCCUUAGAAAAUCUCAUACUUGAGAAUUUAUGGUUUUAGUUACCAAACGACUUGUGUUUAAUUUUGCAGGCGGUUCGAUAUCCAAGAGAUUGUUUUCAUAGUAGCAUCGUUGAUAUUAUGAUGCCCGGAAGUGAAAUCCCAGAAUGGUUUAGCCAACAAAAAAGUGACUCUUCAAUUAAGAUACCCCUACCUAUCAACCUUCGGAAAGAUAGUCAAUGGAUUGGAGUUGCUUGUUGCUGCAUUUUUGUCGAUAAUGGUGCUUCAAGGAAUAAGAUGCUUUACUGUGAUGGAUCUAUUUUUCGAGGUAGAAAUUGUCGACGAAUUUUUUGGAGCCUCGGGUGGGUAGGUCGAAGCUUUCACAAGCUCAUAAUGAAAGAUCACCUUUUUCUUCGUUAUUUUCUGCGUGAUGAAUUAUAUCCAAUUUCCUUGGAGGAUAAAUAUGGUGACUGUGAAACCAAUAAUUUAUGGACAGCAGAUUGCUUAGAUCAAACAGGCGAUAAGCUUCAGUUGUGUUUCAAUUCCAAAUUUGAACCAAAUGACCGUUGUGUUAAGGUGAAGAAGUGUGGUGUUAGAAUAGUGUAUGAGAAAGAUUUGGAAGAAAUGAAAGAGUUGCAGUGCCAUACCACUCAAUCUUCUCCAAAUUUUGAACACAUCCACCAACACUCUGCUCAAAACCAUGGAUCAGUAGGUAGCACUUCUCACAUGAAACGAAAAAUCAAGAGAGAAGCAUUAACUGUGGUAAACUACUUAACCAACUUUGUCCUAUUAAUUUUUUUUUUACACAUCUUGUAUUUCAUUUGAACAAUUAUUCUAGACUUGUUUUGCAUAUGCGAUAUGAUCCUUCCAUUAUAUGCCAAAACAUUUUAAAAUUUUAGCUACUUAUUUUUAUUGGAGAUCAACUUAUGUAUUCAAUUUAAUCAAUCAAAACUGUUUUUAUAUAUUUAGAAGAUUAAUUAUAAAUAGUUAAUAGUACUUAAAUAGAUUUAAUUCCUUCUAAUAAAGUAUCAUUUAAAUUUGAUGGCUUGAAGUACAAAUAACAUUAUUCCAACUCUUCAGUUUAUAUUUUUUUAGACAUCUAUGUAAACUUAUUUGCUUAUGAGAUAUAAUCCUUCUUAUAUAUAAAAAAUUUUUAAAUUUUUUAUUUAUACACAUAUUCAACAUGAGCUCAUAUUCUAUGCAUAUCCUAAAUGUUGAUAACAUAGUAUUUUUAGACCAUUUAAAAUUCUUCUUUAUGUUUAUGAUUUUUCUAUUUUUAAAAAAUUUAUGUAUUUUAAUAUUAUAUAAUUUUUUAAAUUAUGAUUGACUUUUUUUGGGUAAACUACAAAUAUAGUCACUUUUGUUUCACUCAGAUUACAUUUUAGUCACUUAUGUUUGAAAUGUUAUGUUUUAGUCACUUGCGUAUCGUUUUGUUACAAAGUGGUCACUCUACCAUUAAGCUUUGUUACCUCCCUAACGGCAAUCCUACGUGGCAGUCCAAAUGGGUUUUAAAUGCCAACUUGGAUGUCUAAUUGGUACAACAAUAGGUUUUUAAUUAAAUAAAUUUAAUUAAUUAAAAAUUUUAAAUUAAUUACAUGUUGAACUGGAAAAGAAAAAUCAUUCAUCUCUUUUUUCUUUUUAGUUUUCCUUUUCAUUUUAACUGAAAAAAUUAUUCUCAUCCUAGUUGGAAAUCCAAGUUGUCAUUUGAAACCCAUUUGGAUUGCCACGUAGGAUUGUCACUAGGGAGAUAACGGAACUUAACUGAAGAGUUCGUAACAAAACGAUAAUGUAAGUGGCUAAAACGUAGCAUUUCAAACAUAAAUGACUAAAAUAUAAUUUGCGGCAAAUAAAAGUGACUAUUUUUAUAGUUUACUUUUUUUUGAAUUUUAGAGUUUAGGUUCAUUUGUGAACUCUUUCUUGGAAUCUUCGUGGAGAGAACAUUUAUCAUCCCCCAAUUUCCACACCUACGAGCUUGAGGGCAAUGAGGUUGUUGUUUUGGGAGGUUCAAAGGUGAGGGGGAGCUGUUUGGGAUGGCGGUCGGUAAUGGAAGAUGAGAGUGAUGAAGCCCGGGUGUAUUGGUGAUGUUGGUGGUGAAGAUGGGAGCCUCGAGUGAUAGAGAGAGAAUGGUGAAAAGGCCCCUGGGUUAGCUCAGAGAUGAAAUUUGCUGCUAUUGUUGCCUCCAAACACAGAAUUGCUAACCUACCCGGCUUGAAUUUUGUAGAUUGAUUUUAUUAACAGAAAUCAGUGGAGCAUGUUGUGUGUGCUUGCAGUGCAACAAAAGGAAUUGGCAUUUUGUGCUGCGGAAGAUACCUGUAGGUGCUGAGGUAGGUGUACUGGUGCAGAAGGGUGGCCAUUGACUGGCUACCACCUGUCCCAAGAUAUUAGGAACACAUUAGGAUCUGUUUGUAAAGUUAAUAAAAAUUUGGGGACUUUUACUCAAAAUUUUAACUUUUGAAUUAUUACUUACAAUUAUUGUAGGCUCCACUUUGUGGACUCUUUCUUGGAUUCUUCAUGGAGACAACAUCUGUCAUCCCCCAAUUUCCACACGUGCCUGCUUUCAUUUGGAAACAAAGGAAAUGUAUAGAAAAAUUGCUUAGGGAAAUUGGAUCUAGUUCUCUCCUUCAUGCUCAUAUACUAUACUAUAUUGAAAAUAUAUUAAAGAGAUUUGACAAGGAUUGUACAUUAGGUGAUGCUUAUAUCAUUAAAAGGGACAAGUUUAAUGCUCAUCAAUGCCUCAAAAUUGGUUUUAAGAUUAAGGAAAUGGAAAAAAUCACUAUGCUUAUUACUUAAUAAUAAUUGGUUUUAUAUGUGUAAAAAUAUUGCAUAUAUAACCCCGAAUUUCCACACCACUCCCUUUCAUUUUGUCUACUCUCACCUUCUUGGAGUCUUUCCGGAAACAUCUAUAACCCCGAAUUUCCACACCUAGUCCCUUUCAUUUCGAAAAGUAAUGUUUUUAAUUAUUAUCUUUCAUUGUUAAGUUCAUAAAAUACAAACCGUCCAACAUUUUUAACUCUCACCUUCAUGAAAAGAACAUAUCACCCGGCCCUCUUCUAUUUUUCAUAUGUUUUUCCUCAUAUAUUCAUUAUUUUCUGAUUUUGAACACCAGAUUGAAAUAUCUUCUCCUUUCAUACAUCCUCAUGUUGUCGUUACCUUCAACUUCUUCCUCCAUUUCUAGAAAAAAAUACGAUGUUUUCUUGAGUUUCAGAGGUGAAGAUACCCGCAGCAACUUUACCGAUCAUCUCUAUGAUGCUCUAAGUAGGAGUGGGAUCGUCACUUUCAGAGAUGAUCCAAAGCUGGAGGCCGGCGAAGAGAUCGCACCUGAACUCUUUAAAGCAAUUCAGCAAUCAUGGUGCUCGGUAAUCGUUUUUUCACAAACUUAUGCCUUUUCAAGUUGGUGCUUGGAGGAGCUUGCUGAGAUUGUUAAACAACAUAACAACGACGGCCAUAAAGUGUUUCCAAUUUUUUACCAUGUUGGUCCAUCUGAUUUAAGAAAACAAAAAGAGAAAGUGGAAGAAGCCUUUGCCAGACAUAAAGAGAGAUACAAAGAAGAUAGUGAGAAGAUCCAAAGAUGGCGAAAUGCUUUAAUUCAAGUGGCUGGAAUCAAGGGAUGGCAUUUAAAUAAAAGGUAAUUCCUUCUUUUCUUCUUUAUUUUCUAGUUUUUUGCAUAUAUAUGUAUAUCUUUUUUUUCUUUCUAAUCCUAUGUGUUUAAUUGAAAAGUGUCAUAUUUCAAUAAAAGAGCAAACUUUGUAUUCUGGCUACGCAACAGAUCUUGCUUUCUUAUUCUUGGUUCUUGUUUGCUUCCAAACUAUAUUAUGUUUGAUGAUUCAUUGAAAAAGAAAGUUUAUUUGAAACAUAUCAACAAAGUUUUAUUCAAAACAUUAAAUUUUCCUCUCUUUUUUUUAGGCAUGAAUCAGAAUUUAUUAAAGACAUUGUCAAGAAGAUAUCAGCAAAACUAUGUCAGACAUAUCCAGCUACUCAUAGCGACUUGGUUGGAAUUAGUGAACGCUUGGAGGAUUUAUAUUUGAAAAUAAACAUUGGGGAAGAUGAUGUCCGCGUUAUAGGAAUUUGCGGAAUGGGUGGCAUCGGUAAAACGACACUCGCAAGAGUUGCUUACACUCAAAUGUCACCUCAUUUUGAAGGUAAAAGCUUUAUUUCUGAUAUUCGAGAAGUUUCAGACAAAUGCGGGCUAGUUUCUUUACAGAAACAACUUCUUUCACAGAUCUUUCAUGGUGAAUGCUUCAACUUUUUCGAUGUUCAUGAAGGGAGUGACAUAAUUAGCCAUAGGUUGUCUCACAAAAAGGUUCUUGUUGUUCUUGAUAAUGUUGAUAACAUACAACACUUAAAAUGCUUGGUAGGAAGGCACGAUUGGUUCGGAUUAGGAAGUAGAAUCGUUGUAACAACAAGAGAAGAACAUUUGCUUCGGUCUUGGCCAGUUGAUGAUAUGUAUGAGCCCACAACAUUGAAUCCCAAAGAUGCGCUUCAACUUUUCAGUCUGAAAGCUUUUCAUAGUGAUACAGUGCAGAAAGAUGAUUUCAUUGAGCUUUCUAAACAUGUUGUAAAUUAUGCUGGUGGACUCCCUUUAGCUCUUGAAGUUUUGGGUUCCUUUUUGUGCGGUAGAGAUGCGACUCAAUGGAGAAGUGCGAUUGAAAGACUUAAAAGAGAUUCUAAUAAAGAAAUUCUCGAUAAACUUCGAAUCAGUUUUGAUGGACUGGAAGAAAGGGAGAAGAAUAUAUUUUUAGAUAUAGCAUGCUUCUUCAACGGGGAGAAGAAAGAUUUUGUAAUUAAAGUAUUGGAUGGUUGCGAGUUUUUUCCUGAUAUCGGAAUUGAUGUUCUCAUUAAAAAAUCUCUCGUAAAAGUUAAUAAACACAACAAAUAUUUGAAUAUGCAUGAAUUGUUGCAAGAAAUGGGAAGAACAAUUGUUAAAGAAAAAUGUGUUGAUGAACCUGGAAAACGUUGCAGAUUGUGGGAGGAAAGG
Molecule: long non-coding RNA, 7686 nt
Filed under: Gossypium raimondii (Peruvian cotton)
Lineage: Eukaryota; Viridiplantae; Streptophyta; Magnoliopsida; Malvales; Malvaceae
Description: long non-coding RNA (GRAI_LNC005970)
Source: RNAcentral